This 520-nucleotide ribosomal RNA is filed under the name uncultured bacterium. RNAcentral describes it as "bacterial SSU rRNA". It matches the Rfam family "Bacterial small subunit ribosomal RNA", at positions 28 to 538 of the family's 1533-position model. The record is from RNAcentral.
GACGAACGCUGGCGGCGUGCUUAACACAUGCAAGUCGAGCGGUAAGGCCCUUUCGGGGGUACACGAGCGGCGAGCGGGUGAGUAACACGUGGGUGACCUGCCCUCAGCUCUGGGAUAAGCCUGGGAAACCGGGUCUAAUACUGGAUAUGACUCCAUGACGCAUGUUGUGGGGUGGAAAGCCUUGUGCGGCUGAGGAUAGGCCCGCGGCCUAUCAGCUUGUUGGUGGGGUGAUGGCCUACCAAGGCGACGACGGGUAGCCGGCCUGAGAGGGCGACCGGCCACACUGGGACUGAGACACGGCCCAGACUCCUACGGGAGGCAGCAGUGGGGGAAUAUUGGACAAUGGGGGCAACCCUGAUCCAGCGACGCCGCGUGGGUGAAGAAGGCCUGCGGGUUGUAAAGCCCUUUCGGGUGGGGAAGAAAAGUCUCGACCUAUACGUCGGGACCUUGACGUAACCCACUAAAGAAGCACCGGCUAACUCUGUGCCAGCAGCCGCCGCAGUAAGACCUGGACUGCCAA